AGAAUGAACGCUGGCGGCGUGCUUAACACAUGCAAGUCGAGCGAGGCCUGGGGGCAACUCCCAGAGUCGAGCGGCGGACGGGUGAGUAACACGUGGGUAACCUACCCGGAAGUGGGGAAUACCUCGGGGAAACUCGAGCUAAUACCGCAUGACAUCUUUGGGACGAAAGUCCUGACGAUCAAAGCGGGUCGCAAGAUCUCGCGCUACCGGAUGGGCCCGCGCCCGAUUAGCUAGUUGGUGAGGUAACGGCUCACCAAGGCUUCGAUC
RNAcentral lists this ribosomal RNA (267 nucleotides) under uncultured bacterium. RNAcentral describes it as "partial small subunit ribosomal RNA". It matches the Rfam family "Bacterial small subunit ribosomal RNA", at positions 26 to 281 of the family's 1533-position model. The record is from RNAcentral.